This is a long non-coding RNA of Trachemys scripta elegans, 823 nucleotides long. RefSeq lists it as uncharacterized. The record is from RefSeq and is a predicted model, not a curated record. NCBI's taxonomy places the organism in Eukaryota, Metazoa, Chordata, Testudines, Emydidae. The transcript has 2 exons.
GGUAUUCUAUUAUGUUUUCAACCAGGUGGCUGUACUCCCAUCCCAGAAUCUGACCUGGAGGAAAGGACAGGUGUACAGGAUUCCACAACAACGUUUACCAACCACAGGCACUUCACAAAGCAGAAAUCCAAAACUGAUUUUCCGCAGGGUGCAUUAGAGGAAGCAGAAAAGCCAUGAAAAUCUGAAGAGGACUCUCAGGAGGAUUUUUCUUUUACAAUGCAGCUGUACCAAUCCAUGUUACUCUAUUCUGAAUGGAGCCUUCAGAAGGAGAAGGUCCCACUAAUUGUACAAAAAAGUUUAUUCACAUCAAAUUGAUUAGAUUUCCUUGCCAACUACUCGUCUUAGCAUCCAUUCUCUGGAUAAAGCCUAACCACUUAUGAAACUGUUGUAGCAAAUGUUUGUUAAUCUGCAAUAUCAGCCCAUCAUAAAGAUCCUGUUCACUGAUCAAAGACUAUUUACACACAUUUAAAAGCAAACUGUGUUUCAUGGUAUGUUUUAUCUGACUUUUUAGAUAUUCUGUACUCCCUCUCCCUUUGCGAUUAUGUUACCAUUUUCUCAUAAUGUCACAGUUUGAGCAAAAUAGCCAUCUCCUUUCCUCUUCUGCAGACCAAUCACAAUUUCCACACAGGUGAAUUCACCACAAGAAGAAAGGCAGAUUUUCCACCAAGGCUUCCCUAUCCCCCUCCUCCCUGAUUUAUACAUUUGCUCUCAAGAGAUACAGUGUAAAAUAUGGUUAUGACAAGGGCAAAAUGUCUCCUUCCCUUUUCCUGUUACAUAAGUCUUGUGAAUAAAGUUUACAUUGUAAUUACCCUAAGCACUCUGA